Molecule: ribosomal RNA, 57 nt
Filed under: Torynurus convolutus
Lineage: Eukaryota; Metazoa; Nematoda; Chromadorea; Rhabditida; Pseudaliidae
Description: partial 5.8S ribosomal RNA
Source: RNAcentral
UUUGAACGCAUAGGCGUCGUUGGGUUUUCCCUUCGGCACAUCUGGUUCAGGGUUGUU